Molecule: long non-coding RNA, 200 nt
Filed under: Oryctolagus cuniculus (rabbit)
Lineage: Eukaryota; Metazoa; Chordata; Mammalia; Lagomorpha; Leporidae
Description: lncRNA (ENSOCUG00000039443.1)
Source: RNAcentral
UGCAUCUGGGCUGAGGUACAUCUUGUGAUUCAAGAGCCAAGGGAGCACACCGAAGAAAGAAAGCCUGUUUUGGGACAAGAAUUAGACUAAGAAAUAACAGUGCAUCUCCAAUUAAUAGUGAGUGGCCAGAAUGUGGUGCUGACGAUCCAUUGUGACAAACCUCAGAUGAAAAUUUUGAAUUUGUCAAUGGCUUUUAGCAG